UAUAUCUUAUAAUACAUUAAAUUUUGGAGCACAUAAUCACAGCAAGCUACACUGUAAGAGUAUAAAUAUUUUUGGCUGAAAUUAAUUUUGAACGUGCAAAUUAAUACGUGAUUAUUAAUUUCGGAUUAAAUAGAACAGGCAUGCUAUACCUAAUACUAUUGGCAGCCUUGUUAAGCAUGGCUGCGUCAAGAGAACCAAGUUCGUGGGUCCAGAAGAAAGAGUGCGCACAUGAAGGUUACCAAUGUAAAAAUCUACCGUGCUGUUAUCAUCUCAAAUGCAGGUAUAAUUUUCUUAAGAAUGACUAUUGGUGCUCAAAAAUUGCAACCUAAGAUCCAGAACAAAAUACAUCGUUCUAUUCAGUGCCUGGGUUGCAUUACUUUUAAAAUAUUUUUUGUCAAACUGUAAUUGCCAUAAGUUUUUUAAUAAAAAAAUAAUUUGACAGC
This is a long non-coding RNA of Physella acuta, 443 nucleotides long. RefSeq lists it as uncharacterized. The record is from RefSeq and is a predicted model, not a curated record. NCBI's taxonomy places the organism in Eukaryota, Metazoa, Mollusca, Gastropoda, Physidae.